Callorhinchus milii (elephant shark) is the source of this 218-nucleotide long non-coding RNA. RefSeq lists it as uncharacterized. The transcript has 3 exons. NCBI's taxonomy places the organism in Eukaryota, Metazoa, Chordata, Chondrichthyes, Chimaeriformes, Callorhinchidae. The record is from RefSeq and is a predicted model, not a curated record.
GUAGAAAAGGGCAUUCAGGAGGCCAGAGUUGGCAGAGCGGUGGGAGUGACUGGAGGACUACAGUUGCAGGAGAUCAUAGAGGUGGGACAAGAACGAGGAGCCAUGUCAAGUAGAAAAUAUAUAAAUAACAGAAUGCCAAUGGGGAGAACACAGGAAACAUUUGAGAAAAGCUCCAACCUGUCCAAUUGUUAUUGAAGUGUGGACCAAAGCCCCAAGAU